UUUAACAAAAAAUAACUAAUGUCAUUCAUGAAUAUGUUCGGUCUAAAGUUAGAGAAUUAGCAACCCUAUUAAAUACAAUAUAUGGCAUUUACAAAUAAAAUACAAAAUACAAACAAACUAAAUUUAACUACUUUCGGUAUCAAAUUGGAAGGUCUUCCAUCCCCCUCCCUCUAAUGAGUCCAUUGGUAUUUUAAAGAAUGGUAUAGAACUUACUCCAAUAUAAUGCUACAGGGAAAAAUUCAUAAAGACCCCGAUGACAGAAAUAAGUCAGAGAGAACAUGAAUCCAUGAACAGUCCGGAUGUUGACCUCCUCCUUCGGCUAGUGUUGUG
This 330-nucleotide long non-coding RNA is filed under the name Solanum tuberosum (potato). RNAcentral describes it as "long non-coding RNA (STUB_LNC004549)". Lineage: Eukaryota; Viridiplantae; Streptophyta; Magnoliopsida; Solanales; Solanaceae. The record is from RNAcentral.